GCGCCGUCUACGUAACCUUUGACCUUCCGCGUUUUUUCGGCCUCAAGAACGUCGCGACCACAGAAAAAGGCCUUCCUUCCUCUGCAGCUGCGAUAGCGCCCUCAAGUGUGGGGAGGCUGCGCUCCCGUGGCGCGGACGCUGGCGGCGUGAGGUGUAGGUUUCGGGUUACCGGUGGUUUCCGUGGCUCCGACUCCCGGGAGUAAGUUUCCGUGGAAGGAGGUGCCCACUCAACGUUUUUCAAAGCUGGACUCGCCAUCUCACCUUUAAACCUGUUUCUUCUCGAGAGCAUGGGAUUUGGAAUCAGGAGGCCCAGGUUCAAAUGCUACUUUCAACAAUAUUUUAGCCUGUGACCUGUCUAACAGUGAGCUCACUAACUGGAGAAACCUGAGCUAGCCUGCUGGAGAAUGAGAGAUCAUUUGAAGCAGAAUAAGUAGACGGAGCUGAGGUCUCUCCAGAACAACCAGCCUACCAACUAUCAGAACCUCCAAAGAAGCUCUCAAGGUUCGUUUGUAGAAGAACGUAGGAUAAUCAAGCUUCCAAGACUCCAGACAUAUCCAAAUGAGGCGCUGCAUGUGGCAAGCUACCUUUCUUAAAAAAAAAUAAAGUGGAGCACUAUAAUGAAUACAUGACUGCAGAAAUAAAAAGCUUGGACAAGGGAGGCACCAGAAAGAACCUUGAAUGUGCUGAUUUAGAUCAGAAGCUUAGUUUAUAAGAACUGAGUAUAUAAUGGAAAUGGCUAUAAGCAAAUUUCUGUGAGCAGUUCCAGGAACCCCAAUAGUCAGCGUCCAAAUGGCCAUGAGAGUCAGUUUGAUCUGUCACUUAGGGGAUAAAUUAGUGGUCUGGAGAAGAAAGGAUCUUGGAUCUGGAGGGAAUUUAGUCUGGGCUUGGGUGGAAAUAUUUUUGAUUAACAGGAGAGAAUAACCUCAAGGAUCAGAUAUAGAGAAAAGUGCUUUUGACAAGAUGGGGAGUAAACAAAGGAUGAUUUUAAAGAAAAUGCAUUCAUUAAUGUAUUCAUUCAUUAGUAGUAGGCACUAUAAAAUGGGGGAAACACAUAGACUGUGCCUUCAAGAAUCUUGGUCCUGAUGUGAUGAUUCACCUCAAAUGACA
Hipposideros armiger (great roundleaf bat) is the source of this 1107-nucleotide long non-coding RNA. RefSeq lists it as uncharacterized. NCBI's taxonomy places the organism in Eukaryota, Metazoa, Chordata, Mammalia, Chiroptera, Hipposideridae. The record is from RefSeq and is a predicted model, not a curated record. The transcript is spliced from 3 exons.